GAUGAAGACGCAGCGAAAUGCGAUAAGUAGUGUGAAUUGCAGAAUUCAGUGAAUCAUCGAAUCUUUGAACGCACAUUGCGCCCGCCAGUAUUCUGGCGGGCAUGCCUGUUCGAGCGUCAUUUCAACCAUCAAGCCCCAGGCUUGUGUUGGGGACCUGCGGCUGCCGCAGGCCCUGAAAACCAGUGGCGGGCUCGCUGUCACACCGGGCGUAGUAGAUUUUAUCUCGCUCAGGGCGUGCUGCGGGUUCCGGCCGUUAAAAAGCCUUUUUUACCCAAGGUUGACCUCGGAUCAGGUAGGAAGACCCGCUGAACUUAAGCAUAUCAAUAAGCGGAGGA
This 335-nucleotide unclassified non-coding RNA is filed under the name soil metagenome. RNAcentral's name for it is "partial contains 5.8S ribosomal RNA, internal transcribed spacer 2, and large subunit ribosomal RNA". The stretch from base 1 to 119 matches the Rfam family "5.8S ribosomal RNA", at positions 35 to 154 of the family's 154-position model. The record is from RNAcentral.